Molecule: ribosomal RNA, 376 nt
Filed under: uncultured bacterium
Lineage: Bacteria
Description: bacterial SSU rRNA
Rfam family: Bacterial small subunit ribosomal RNA
Source: RNAcentral
AUACGUAGGGUGCGAGCGUUAAUCGGAAUUAUUGGGCGUAAAGCGAGUGUAGACGGUUAUUUAAGCCAGAUGUGAAAUACCCGAGCCUAACUUGGGAGGUGCAUAUGGAACUGGGUAGCUAGAGUGUGUCAGAGGGAGGUAGAACUCCACGUGUAGCAGUGAAAUGCGUAGAGAUGUGGAAGAAUACCGAUGGCGAAGGCAGCCUCCUGGGAUAACACUGACGUUGAGGCUCGAAAGCGUGGGGAGCAAACAGGAUUAGAUACCCUGGUAGUCCACGCCCUAAACGAUGACAAUUAGCUGUUGGCCCCAUUAAGGGGUGAGUAGCGAAGCUAACGCGUGAAAUUGUCCGCCUGGGGAGUACGGUCGCAAGAUUAAA